This 241-nucleotide ribosomal RNA is filed under the name Candeina nitida. Its description in RNAcentral is "partial small subunit ribosomal RNA". Lineage: Eukaryota; Foraminifera; Rotaliida; Candeinidae. The record is from RNAcentral.
CUUCGGAGCUUUUAUUGUUAAAUAUGCUAGUCCUUUCAUGAUUAUGUGAUAGGUGGUGCAUGGCCGUUCUUAGUUCGUGGAGUGAUCUGUCUGCUUAAUUGCGUUUCACUAUAGGUCCUAUAUUCUUAAAAUGUGUGCAGUGCAUUGACCCCUUGUUUUUAACAAGCGCGUGUCUUUGUGCUCACACUUUCAUUAGGUCCUGAAAGCAACGAACGUGACCGCAACCUCUUGUUGCCUCAUU